RNAcentral lists this ribosomal RNA (279 nucleotides) under uncultured bacterium. RNAcentral describes it as "partial 16S ribosomal RNA". It matches the Rfam family "Bacterial small subunit ribosomal RNA", at positions 506 to 784 of the family's 1533-position model. The record is from RNAcentral.
UGCCAGCAGCCGCGGUAAGACGAGGGGCCCAAGCGUUAAUCGGAAUCACUGGGCUUAAAGCGCGCGUAGGUGGUUUGAUAAGUAGACUGUGAAAUCCCCAGGCUUAACCUGGGAACUGCAGUCUAAACUGUCUCACUCGAGAUCAGUAGAGGGAGGUGGAAUUCCUGGUGCAGCGGUGAAAUGCGUAGAUAUCAGGAAGAACACCGGUGGCGAAGGCGACCUCCUGGACUGCAUCUGACACUGAGGUGCGAAAGCGUGGGGAGCGAACAGGAUUAGAUA